GAGAGCCGGAUGCGGGAGAUCCGCCAGUCCGGUUCGGAGGGAGGGGGGACCGGCACAACCGAUCCUCCCUACCCCUAU
Non-coding RNA from Fimbriiglobus ruber, 78 nucleotides. The record is from Rfam. NCBI's taxonomy places the organism in Bacteria, Pseudomonadati, Planctomycetota, Planctomycetia, Gemmatales, Gemmataceae.